ACCUCAGGUUCACCGAAGAUGAUUUCCUCUGCGGCUCUGCCACCAAGUCCACCAACAAUUCUUGCAAAGAGUUGUUGCUUGGAGAUCAAGGUAGGGUCAUCUGAAGGAAUGAACCAGGUAAGACCGCGUGCCUGGCCACGUGGAAUCAAGGUGACUUUUUGAACAGGAUCGUGACCCGGUGUCAAAGUUCUGAGACAUGAAGGUAUCACAAUCGUAAGUUUCUUAAACAGUCAUUCUAAAAUAAAGACGACAGUAUUAACAGAUAAAAACGAACAAGCAUGCAUAAUGAGAGUUGAAGACGUUAUUUGAGGUAUGAAACACGAAAAGUAAAUUAAGAUGCUCUUAUUUCACUCACCCGCAAAUGGCAUGGCCGACCUCGUGGUAUGCAACCAAGCUUUUGCUCUUUCCAUCAGUCAUAACUGUUCCUUCCAUUCCAGCCACGAUCCUAUCAAUUGAAUCAUCGAUUUCUUUAGAUGAAAUUGCGGUCUUGCCACGCCGACCAGCCAAUAUAGCAGCUUCGUUUAAUAGAUUUGCUAGAUCUGCUCCACUAAAACCAGGCGUUCUCAUGGCUAUAACAUCAAAUGAUACAUCAGUUUCAAACUUCUUGUUGCUACCAUGAACCUUUAGUAUCUCAGUUCUGCCUCUGAUAUCCGGAACAUCAACAGUGACCUGCAUUAAAGCAUCAUGUUGGCUACUUUGUUGUGUAGCUAAUAAGAAUGAUACAACAUACAAGCAAUAAUUAUAUGUUUUUACCUGUCUAUCAAACCGUCCUGGCCUCAACAAAGCGGAAUCAAGAAUGUCAGCUCUGUUAGUUGCUGCAAUUACGAUGAUACCGGUGUUACCCUCGAAACCAUCCAUUUCGGUCAAAAGCUGGUUAAGAGUUUGCUCUCUCUCAUCAUUCCCUCCACCAAUACCAGUUCCUCUUUGUCGUCCAACGGCAUCAAUUUCAUCCACAAAGACAAUACAGGGGGCAUUCUCCUUGGCCUUCUUGAAAAGAUCACGAACUCGAGAAGCACCAACACCAACAAACAUUUCAACAAACUCAGAACCGGAAAUGGAGAAGAAUGGCACACCAGCUUCACCGGCAAUUGCCUUAGCAAGAAGAGUCUUUCCGGUUCCAGGAGGGCCAAUGAGAAGAACACCUUUAGGGAUACGAGCCCCGACUGCGGUAAAUCUUUCUGGCUUCUUUAAGAACUCCACAACCUCCAUGAAGUCCUGCUUUGCUUCAUCAACUCCAGCAACAUCAUCGAAUGUUACACCGGUGUUAGGUUCCAUUUGAAACUUUGCUUUCGAUUGACCAAAAGCAAGGGGAAAACCAGGCCCACCCGGACCUCCCAUUCCACCAGACGAUCUCCUUGAAAGAAGGAACAACCCUCCAAUCAAGAUUAAUGGGAAUGCUAGAUUGCCAAUCAAGUUAAAUAACAACGAACCGGAGUCUUCUUGAGCAUUAUGGGCAGCAAAGUCAAUGUUCUUCUCCCUAAACUUCUGAAGAAGU
Molecule: long non-coding RNA, 1495 nt
Filed under: Gossypium barbadense (sea-island cotton)
Lineage: Eukaryota; Viridiplantae; Streptophyta; Magnoliopsida; Malvales; Malvaceae
Description: long non-coding RNA (GBAR_LNC013129)
Source: RNAcentral